UACGUAGGGUGCAAGCGUUGUCCGGAAUUAUUGGGCGUAAAGAGCUCGUAGGCGGUCAGUCGCGUCUGCUGUGAAAACUCUGGGCUUAACUCCGGGCCUGCAGUGGGUACGGGCUGACUAGAGUGCGGUAGGGGAGACUGGAAUUCCUGGUGUAGCGGUGAAAUGCGCAGAUAUCAGGAGGAACACCGGUGGCGAAGGCGGGUCUCUGGGCCGUAACUGACGCUGAGGAGCGAAAGCGUGGGGAGCGAACAGG
RNAcentral lists this ribosomal RNA (253 nucleotides) under uncultured bacterium. RNAcentral describes it as "partial 16S ribosomal RNA". It matches the Rfam family "Bacterial small subunit ribosomal RNA", at positions 524 to 776 of the family's 1533-position model. The record is from RNAcentral.